Molecule: ribosomal RNA, 857 nt
Filed under: Phaeodactylum tricornutum
Lineage: Eukaryota; Bacillariophyta; Bacillariophyceae; Surirellales; Neidiaceae
Description: eukaryotic LSU rRNA
Rfam family: 5.8S ribosomal RNA (bases 275-430)
Source: RNAcentral
UCUUACCGUGAAAUCCAAACCCAAACCCAACCACGACGGAGAGAGGAGAUGGAUUUACAGGUACUUUGUGCGUAAGUGCACUGUGACUGUGAGUCCUUUGAUCUCGGCGUCUUUUUACCACGACGCAUUUUCCAAUGCGGCGCGAGAACCGGACUUGAUCCAGUGAAGCAUGAAACCCGAGGAAGACGGAUCCACUAGUGUAUGUAGACAAGCAAAUGCGCGUCUACGACGCAAUAGUGGGUCCGAUUCCAAAUAUUAUUUACCAAUACAUUACAACUUUCAGCAAUGGAUGUCUAGGUUCCCACAACGAUGAAGAACGCAGCGAAAUGCGAUACGUAAUGCGAAUUGCAAGACCUCGUGAAUCAUUAAGAUUUUGAACGCACAUUGCGCUUCCGGGAUUUUUCCCGGGAGCAUGCUUGUCUGAGUGUCAGCGAAACCCCCUCAGCGUUGAGCUCCUGGCAAAUAUAUAUAUUUUUGUCAAGGGUUGGACUGCUGGACUUUGGCGCUGCCAGUUCUGGCUGCUGUUCAAGUGUACGUUCGCAUAUCUGAUGCGACGGAAAAACCGUUGGAUGCAGUAUUCUUCUUUGGAGGUCGUUGGGCUUUUAUCUGGUUCUACUCCACUCAAAUGCGGUUUUCGGUUUCCGUCUCCAGUAGGUAGGAAAAGCUGCAAGGCUUGACUUCACCCUUGGGGAUACUAAAAGGAAACAGUGAACUGCAGGAGCAGGCCAGCGCAAAGUCCUGUAAUCGCGCUUCCUUGGUAAGAAUGCGGCAUCGGCAGACGGAUUGGUGGAAAGCGGUGUGUUUUCUUCGUUCAUCAUCUUUGAAUGAAUGAAAUGUCCAUCGUUUCCACCAGUAUA